This 396-nucleotide ribosomal RNA is filed under the name uncultured bacterium. Its description in RNAcentral is "partial 16S ribosomal RNA". It matches the Rfam family "Bacterial small subunit ribosomal RNA", at positions 338 to 732 of the family's 1533-position model. The record is from RNAcentral.
CCUACGGGUGGCAGCAGUGAGGAAUAUUGGUCAAUGGCCGGAAGGCUGAACCAGCCAAGUCGCGUGAGGGACGACUGCCCUAUGUAUUGUAAACCUCUUUUGUCAGGGAACAAUGACUGCUACUUGUACCCUGAUGCGUGUACCUGAUGAAUAAGCAUCGGCUAACUCCGUGCCAGCAGCCGCGGUAAUACGGAGGAUGCGAGCGUUAUCCGGAUUUAUUGGGUUUAAAGGGUGCGUAGGCGGUUUGUUAAGUUAGUGGUUAAACGUCGGGGCUUCACCUCGGUGUGCCAUUAAUACUGUAAGACUCGAGUUGAGACGAGGUAGGCGGAAUAAGCUAAGUAGCGGUGAAAUGCUUAGAUAUAACUUAGAACCCCGAUAGCGAAGGCAGCUUACCGG